RNAcentral lists this transfer RNA (70 nucleotides) under Marmota monax (woodchuck). RNAcentral describes it as "tRNA.Ala". Lineage: Eukaryota; Metazoa; Chordata; Mammalia; Rodentia; Sciuridae. The record is from RNAcentral.
GGGGUGCAGCUCAGUGGUAGAGCACUUGCCUAGCAUGUGUGAGGCCCUGGGUUCCAUCCCCAUCACCACA